AACAUAUGUGUUCUACAUUCCAUAUAUCGCGUGACCUUUUAGCGAGAUUUCAUCAGUAAGUCAACAUUGCUGUCGGAUGGCAGAAAAUUCAAAACAAGCGAGUUUAUCGGUCUGUAGAGACGAUUAUAAAGGAUUGAGGGGUGAAUAGAAUAUACAGGUUAUUGACAUCCCAAUCUUUAGUGGGAAGCUUCCUGGUAUCUUCCGCUAGUGACAGUCUACUGGCAAAUCCAGACAUGCAUUGGAAGCUUGUUGAUGAGGAGGACACAUGGACACCUGAUCCAAGAACUGUGACAUUUCAUUCGGAAUGAAAACCUGACAUUCAGUUGAUAUGGAACCUGAUUAUUCAGAGCAUUGCAGAUUUUAUGAAACUGUUUUUGACAAAGGAUUUGGUUUUCUCCAUCUGUGUUGCCACCAACCAUUAUGCUGAGAUGGUCAUAUC
This is a long non-coding RNA of Ostrea edulis (European flat oyster), 439 nucleotides long. RefSeq lists it as uncharacterized. NCBI's taxonomy places the organism in Eukaryota, Metazoa, Mollusca, Bivalvia, Ostreida, Ostreidae. The record is from RefSeq and is a predicted model, not a curated record. The transcript has 3 exons.